UCAGGAUGAACGCUAGCGGCAGGCUUAACACAUGCAAGUCGAGGGGCAGCAUGAUUUAACUUUCGGGUUAGAUUGAUGGCGACCGGCGCAAGGGUGCGUAACGCGUGAGCAACUUGCCCUUAUCAGGGGGAUAACCGUUGGAAACGACGACUAAUACCCCAUAGCAUCACUUUGAGGCAUCUUUAGUGAUUAAAGAACUUCGGAUAAGGAUAGGCUCGCGUGACAUUAGCUAGAUGGCGGGGUAACGGCCCACCAUGGCGACGAUGUCUAGGGGUUCUGAGAGGAAGGUCCCCCACACUGGAACUGAGACACGGUCCAGACUCCUACGGGAGGCAGCAGUGAGGAAUAUUGGUCAAUGGUCGAGAGACUGAACCAGCCAUGCCGCGUGAAGGUCACGGCCCUAUGGGUCUUAAACUUCUUUUGUAAGGGAGCAAUAAGGUUCACGUGUGGACUGAUGAGAGUACCUUACGAAUAAGCAUCGGCUAACUCCGUG
RNAcentral lists this ribosomal RNA (493 nucleotides) under uncultured bacterium. RNAcentral describes it as "bacterial SSU rRNA". It matches the Rfam family "Bacterial small subunit ribosomal RNA", at positions 24 to 507 of the family's 1533-position model. The record is from RNAcentral.